AAAAUUAACUAACUAGUUUUUAUAGAAGUAAAGUUGGUUUUAUAUUUGCACAUUCGCACUUACGCUCCCCUAAUAAAAUAUUAGAAAACUAUUGUUUGCAAAUUCCAAAUAGCGAAAUCACACUAGCAGACAACUAUUAUCAAACUACAACAGCGUUCAUGGUCAAAGAAAUCAUGCUAGUGUUGUUUGAAGUGUUACUUACAUGCGAUUUCAGACCGAAUAUUCAAUAUCGCGUGAAAAACAACAAAGGGACCGAGUCAAAAGUUCUCAGGUUGUUGAAAAACGAACAAAAGGAAUUCAGCCAAUUACUAUAACGGUUUUGAAAUCAUGGCCUGUGCACAUCAACAUCUGUGGACCCUGCAGAACAUGCAUGCAACCUGUGCCCUGCUGUUUUCCUUACCUCUGUCUUACCCAUUGUCUUAACUAAAUAUUGUAACACUGUCAUUUCUGUUUUUUCUGUUUAUGACAUGUUGUUGUACAUUAAACUAUCAUUAUAUCAUAAA
Molecule: non-coding RNA, 503 nt
Organism: Danio rerio (zebrafish)
Lineage: Eukaryota; Metazoa; Chordata; Actinopteri; Cypriniformes; Danionidae
Source: RefSeq, a predicted model, not a curated record